GGAUGCCCAUCCCCGGACCUCCCUCCCACCGCCCGCCGGGGCCCGAGGGGGCAGCGACGGCAGAAAAGCUGUUAAAUAUACCGCUGCCAUCCUUUGGCCACGAGUUAGAACCCUUUCAGCAAACUGCUGUCAGUUCUGCAGGAUGGAAUUACUUUAGCUAUAAUCUUGGGAGCUGACCACGGGCGAGCCCCAGACAUCACGUUCUAUAUAGCGUUACUUCCAAAUUCUGCGCAGAAUACUUGUCUUUUCUCUGAAAUAAUUCACUGUCGACUGUUACUGAACCUUUGAUUCCCCCCCACACACACACACCACACCACUGCUGCACAUCUGCAAGACCACCAAAAGCAGGAGCACUAAAGUAGAUCAGGAAACAAGAGGAUGCCGAACUGCCAGGCACAAGCUGAUGCCAACCCAUAAAACUUAGUACGUAUUCCUGGCAAGGCCAAAGGGAAAGCAGCAACUGGAGUUAACCAGGAAUCACAGAAACAGCAGUGAAAAGAAGCCUUGGACACGGGUAAUGCACGGCAGCAGGGCCGACAAUGCCACUUAACAACUUCAUGUCCAUAUUCCAUAAAAUAGAAAAUCUCUGCAGGGAAAGGGAGUAAAUUGGAGCGCACUGGAUUAGCUGUAGCUGGGGAAAGUGUACUGUGAAUGUCUGAUUAGAGAGAAACUACAGCAGAGUUAAUUUUCCAACUGCAACUGUAGUUUUUUAACUGUCAACAAAGAGCAGGAGUUUUAAGGGGCAAUCCAGGAAGCAGCAGGGAAGCAUCUCUCAGCUUUUCAAGGUUAAUUGAGAAAAGGGGAGAGUCGAGUAUACUGGUAGGACUCGGGAAAUUACAUGCAAUGGUGCCGCUUGAGGACUGCAUCUAUUCACAGGAGUGAAGAAGAUUCAGAGCCACAGCUUCUCCCUGGCCUCAUCUUUUUCCAUGGCAUUUCACAGAUUUCAAGAUGUGUCCUUGUCUUUAACUCUGUGGUCAAGAUUUUAAUGUACUCUGCAUGGCAGUGUCUUGAUUCUGCAGAGAGACUUGUGUACAGACAUACUGCAACAGUCAUUUUACUGGAAAUAAUAUCUCUGAAAAUAAACUAGAUGGCAAAAAGGAAUGCUAGAGAUGUAUUAAAAAGACUUGCAGUUAAGUAAUGAGUUGUCCCUAUCAAGAGGAAAGACAGAAUUAAACAUUUUGAUAAAUGUAAGUUUGAGUGAAAAAGAACCAGCCCAUCCACCUUGCAAGAAUUAUAGCCUGUCUUUGAGAUGGCUCAAAUGGAAGCACUGAGCAGGUAGAAAGCCACUUGGUAUAUGCUUGAACAGCUCUGAACAAUUCAGUGUCAUCAACAAGUUUGCAGUUCUGGAAGAAAAAGAGGAGG
This is a long non-coding RNA of Empidonax traillii (willow flycatcher), 1362 nucleotides long. RefSeq lists it as uncharacterized. The transcript has 2 exons. Lineage: Eukaryota; Metazoa; Chordata; Aves; Passeriformes; Tyrannidae. The record is from RefSeq and is a predicted model, not a curated record.